RNAcentral lists this small RNA (104 nucleotides) under Salmonella enterica subsp. enterica serovar Muenster. Its description in RNAcentral is "partial RtT sRNA". It matches the Rfam family "RtT RNA", at positions 29 to 130 of the family's 130-position model. Rfam says of the family: This family represents a bacterial cis-regulatory element known as RtT RNA. The exact function of RtT is unknown although it is thought that it may be involved in changing the cellular response in relation to amino acid starvation. The record is from RNAcentral. Lineage: Bacteria; Pseudomonadati; Pseudomonadota; Gammaproteobacteria; Enterobacterales; Enterobacteriaceae.
GCUUCGACUAAGGUUCGAUUCGAGCGAAAGCGAGAAAGCGUUGCCGCAGGCAACGACCCGAAGGGCGAAGCGCGCAGCGCUGAGUAAUCCUUCCCCCACCACCA